UACAGAGGUGGCAAGCGUUGUUCGGAAUUACUGGGCGUAAAGGGCUCGUAGGCGGCCAACUAAGUCACACGUGAAAUCCCCAGGCUUAACCUGGGAACUGCGUGUGAUACUGGAUGGCUUGAAUUCGGGAGAGGGAUGCAGAAUUCCAGGUGUAGCGGUGAAAUGCGUAGAUAUCUGGAGGAAUACCGGUGGCGAAGGCGGCAUCCUGGACCGACAUUGACGCUGAACGGCGAAAGCUAGGGGAGCAAACGGG
Molecule: ribosomal RNA, 253 nt
Filed under: uncultured bacterium
Lineage: Bacteria
Description: partial 16S ribosomal RNA
Rfam family: Bacterial small subunit ribosomal RNA
Source: RNAcentral